GCAGCGGUAGUUCAGUUGGUUAGAAUACCGGCCUGUCACGCCGGGGGUCGCGGGUUCGAGCCCCGUCCGCUGC
This 73-nucleotide transfer RNA is filed under the name Acinetobacter baumannii. Its description in RNAcentral is "tRNA-Asp". It matches the Rfam family "tRNA". From Rfam's summary of the family: Transfer RNA (tRNA) molecules are approximately 80 nucleotides in length. Their secondary structure includes four short double-helical elements and three loops (D, anti-codon, and T loops). Further hydrogen bonds mediate the characteristic L-shaped molecular structure. tRNAs have two regions of fundamental functional importance: the anti-codon, which is responsible for specific mRNA codon recognition, and the 3' end, to which the tRNAs corresponding amino acid is attached (by aminoacyl-tRNA synthetases). tRNAs cope with the degeneracy of the genetic code in two manners: having more than one tRNA (with a specific anti-codon) for a particular amino acid; and 'wobble' base-pairing, i.e. permitting non-standard base-pairing at the 3rd anti-codon position. RNAcentral also lists the same sequence under 7 other names. Lineage: Bacteria; Pseudomonadati; Pseudomonadota; Gammaproteobacteria; Moraxellales; Moraxellaceae. The record is from RNAcentral.